GGCAAGUCUCAUACGACCAGCUCCUAUUGAACUCCCCCAGGAUCGGAAGAUAGCAAGGGUAAAUAGUCGUAGCGGUGCGAUAUGAGUAGCUUGCC
RNAcentral lists this signal recognition particle RNA (95 nucleotides) under marine eukaryotic metagenome. RNAcentral's name for it is "Bacteroidales small SRP". It matches the Rfam family "Bacteroidales small SRP", at positions 9 to 102 of the family's 107-position model. From Rfam's summary of the family: The non-coding component of the signal recognition particle in Bacteroides The record is from RNAcentral.